CAAUCAAACUCGGUGAUAGCUGGUUCUCCCCGAAAUGCCUUUAGGGGCAGCCUCGGGCGUUCAGCAUCGGAGGUAGAGCACUGGUUGGGCUAGGGGGCCUACAAGCUUACCGAUCUCAGCCAAACUCCGAAUGCCGAUGCUCCAGAGCCCGGGAGUGAGGCUGCGGGGGCUAAGCUCCGUAGCCGAGAGGGAAACAACCCAGACCGUCAGCUAAGGUCCCCAAGUCUGUGCUAAGUGGGAAAGGAUGUGGAGUCGCCCAGACAACCAGGAGGUUGGCUUAGAAGCAGCCACCCUUGAAAGAGUGCGUAACAGCUCACUGGUCAAGUGGUUCCGCGCCGACAAUGUAACGGGGCUCAAGCACAGCACCGAAGCUACGGCAUUCCGCGUAUGGCUCGGCGUGUCCGGGUGACCGGCCACGUCCAGGCCGCGGGAUGGGUAGGGGAGCGUUCCCACGCGGGUGAAGCGGCGGGAUAACCCAGCCGUGGAUGCGUGGGAAGUGCGAAUGCCGGCAUCAGUAGCGAAAAGACGGGGGAGGAACCCGUCCGCCGAAUGCCCAAGGGUUCCUGGGGAAGGAUCAUCCGCCCAGGGUUAGUCGGGCCCUAAGCCGAGGCCGAGAGGCGUAGGCGAUGGAAGACCGGUUGAUAUUCCGGUACCACCUCAAUCGCGCCAAUGCCGAAUCCGAGCUGCUAAGGAAACCCCUCCACCUUGGAGGGGCUACCGACCCGCUCGGUAGUAGGCAAGCGAAGGGGAGACGCAGGAGGGUAAGUCGACCCAGGCGAUGGUCGUCCUGGGGCAAGGGGGUAGGAGGACCUCCCAGGCAAAUCCGGGAGGUCGUCAACUCCGAGACCCGAUGCCGAGCCGUCUCAGGCGAAGCGACCGAUCCCAUGCUGCCUAGAAAAACCUCUAGCGAGUGAUUGAGGUGCCCGUACCCCAAACCGACGCAGGUGGGCAGGUAGAGAAUACCGAGGCGAUCGAGAGAACCCUGGUUAAGGAACUCGGCAAAUUGCCCCCGUAACUUCGGGAGAAGGGGGGCUCCGGUAGGGUGAGGGACCUGCGUCCCGAGCUCGAUGGAGCCGCAGAGACCAGGCCCAAGCGACUGUUUACUAAAAACACAGGUCCAUGCGAAGCCGUAAGGCGCUGUAUAUGGACUGACGCCUGCCCGGUGCUGGAACGUUAAGGGGAUGGGUCAGGUACCGCCUUCGGGUGGUGCCGAAGCUCUGAACCUAAGCGCCAGUAAACGGCGGCCGUAACUAUAACGGUCAACCUUCUGGCCGUUGGAAAACUCGGCUAUAUGCUGGAAUAUCCGGAGAAUCCGGCGGUACUCCCUUGAGGAGUCACAAUCCGACCGGUGCGGACAAUCAGCAGGGAAGUCUUCGUGACCCCUCAGAGACUGCACGCCGAGUGCCGGUUGAGCCGGUGAAGAUACAGUCCGACCCUCAUGGCGACAUGAGGAGGGCGGCAGAAAUGACCGCCCCGCCGUCUGGGACGAAGAGUCCCGAACGGAGGUAACAGAGGUGCCUAAGGUAGACCGAGGGGGACGCCACCCCUCGCUGCCCCUUACACCGGCGACGGUGUGAUGUGCAGCUGGCUAUAUGCUGGGAACCCCGAGCAUCCGGUGGUACCGACCAUGUCAGACCCUCCGCGUAUGGUGGGGACAUGGCCGGUGACAAUCCAUCCGGUGCGGGCAAUCAGCAGGAAAGGCCAGGAAUCGAGCAGUGGAUCGUCGGCUUCGUCGACGGCGAAGGCUGCUUCAGCCUUCCGAUCCAUCGAAAUCCAAGCAUGAGGAUCGGAUGGAUGGUUCAGCCUCGAUUCGCAGUCGUGCAAGGCGAGCGAAGUGCGCAGGUUCUGCACCUGAUGAGGGACUACUUCGGGUGCGGGACGGUGUACCUCAAUCGUCGUAGGGACAACCAUCGCGAGGAUCUUCUCGUUUAUGGUGUCUUCAAUCAGCACGCCUUGCGAGGGACAAUCGUUCCGUUCUUCGAAGCAAAUCCACUGAGAACGGCGAAGGCCGAUGAAUUCAGGAAGUUUGCGGCGGUUCUUCGGAUGAUGGAGACCCGACUCCACCUCACGGUGGAGGGUCUUACGGAAAUCGCGAAGACGGCUGAGACGAUGAACCAUCGGAAGCCGUCCCGAUUCCUGGAAUCCCCAGAGGCCAUACGCCAGCCAACUCUUCUCGACGGGAAGAGCUGAAGAUAUGGUCCCGACCUCAUGGCGACGUGAGGAACUCGGAGCGAAAUUCCUUGUCGGGUAAGUUCCGACCUGCACGAAUGGCGUAACGACUUGGGCACUGUCUCAACCAGGGACUCGGCGAAGUUGCAAUACGAGUAAAGAUGCUCGUUUCCCGCGGAAGGACGGAAAGACCCCGGAACCUUUACUGCAGCUUGGUGUUGGGUCUUGGUACGCGUUGCGUAGGAUAGGCGGGAGGCUUUGAAGCCCGGGCUCUGGCUCGGGUGGAGCCAACCUUGAAAUACCGCUCUUCGUAUGCUGGGACUCUAACCUCGACCCGUGAUCCGGGCCGGGGACAGCGCCUGGUGGGCAGUUUAACUGGGGCGGUUGCCUCCUAAAGGGUAACGGAGGCGCCCAAAGGUCCCCUCAAGCCGGUUGGCAAUCGGCUGCCGAGUGCAAGGGCACAAGGGGGCUUGACUGCGAGAUCGACGGAUCGAGCAGGUGCGAAAGCAGGGCCUAGUGAUCUGACGGCUCCUCGUGGUAGGGCCGUCACUUAACGGCUAAAAGGUACUCCGGGGAUAACAGGCUGAUCUUGCCCAAGAGUCCAUAUCGACGGCAAGGUUUGGCACCUCGAUGUCGGCUCGUCGCAUCCUGGGGCUGGAGCAGGUCCCAAGGGUCGGGCUGUUCGCCCGUUAAAGCGGUACGCGAGCUGGGUUUAGAACGUCGUGAGACAGUUCGGUCCCUAUCCUCCGCGGGCGUAGGAGACUUGAGGGGAGCUGCCCCCAGUACGAGAGGACCGGGGCGGACGGACCUCUGGUGUGCCAGUUGUCGCGCCAGCGGCACUGCUGGUUGGCCACGUUCGGCAGGGAUAAGCGCUGAAAGCAUCUAAGCGCGAAGCUCGCCCCAAGAUGAGGUCUCCCACCGGGUCAAACCGGGUAAGGCCCCUCGCAGACUACGAGGUAGAUAGGCCGGAGGUGUACGCACGGUGACGUGUUGAGCCGACCGGUACUAAUAGGCCGAGGACUUGGCUCUU
This 3199-nucleotide ribosomal RNA is filed under the name Actinomycetes bacterium. RNAcentral describes it as "Actinobacteria bacterium partial 23S ribosomal RNA". It matches the Rfam family "Bacterial large subunit ribosomal RNA", at positions 830 to 2925 of the family's 2925-position model. The record is from RNAcentral. Lineage: Bacteria; Bacillati; Actinomycetota; Actinomycetes.